This 468-nucleotide ribosomal RNA is filed under the name uncultured bacterium. RNAcentral describes it as "partial 16S ribosomal RNA". It matches the Rfam family "Bacterial small subunit ribosomal RNA", at positions 28 to 507 of the family's 1533-position model. The record is from RNAcentral.
GACGAACGCUGGCGGCGUGCUUAAUACAUGCAAGUCGAACGGAAAGGCCCUGCUUUUGUGGGGUGCUCGAGUGGCGAACGGGUGAGUAACACGUGAGUAACCUGCCCUUGACUUUGUGAUAACUUCAGGAAACUGGGGCUAAUACCGGAUAGGAGCUCCUGCUGCAUGGUGUGGGUUGGAAAGUUUCGGCGGUUGGGGAUGGACUCGCGGGUUAUCAGCUUGUUGGUGGGGUAGUGGCUUACCAAGGCUUUGACGGGUAGGCGGCCUGAGAGGGUUACCGGCGACAAUGGGACUGAGAGACGGCCCAGACGCCUACGGGAGGCAGUAGUGGAGAAUAUUGCACAGUGGGCGGAAGCCUGAUGCAGAGACGCCGCGUGCGGGAUGACCGCCUUCGGGUUGUAAACCGCUUUCGCAUGUGACGAAGCGUGAGUGACGGUAACGGGUAAAGAAGCGCCGGCUAACUACGUG